This 254-nucleotide ribosomal RNA is filed under the name uncultured bacterium. RNAcentral describes it as "partial 16S ribosomal RNA". It matches the Rfam family "Bacterial small subunit ribosomal RNA", at positions 524 to 776 of the family's 1533-position model. The record is from RNAcentral.
UACGUAGGGUGCAAGCAUUAUCCGGAGUGACUGGGCGUAAAGAGUUGCGUAGGUGGUUACAUAAGCGAAUAGUGAAAUCUGUCGGCUCAACCGACAGGCUAUUAUUCGAACUGUGUAACUCGAGAAUGGUAGAGGUAACUGGAAUUUCUAGUGUAGGAGUGAAAUCCGUAGAUAUUAGAAGGAACACCAAUGGCGUAGGCAGGUUACUGGACCAUUUCUGACACUGAGGCACGAAAGCGUGGGGAGCGAACCGG